CUAGAGCAAGGCUUUUAAACUUUGGGGUCAGGACGACAGGGAUUCUUUCUAUUCUUUCUAGACAUAGGUGUGUUUGAAACUUUGCAGUCAGGGAGGAGGCUCUCCGAGGUGUGGGUUCCAAGUGAACAUAACCACCAGCUGGAGGCUGGGGACCAGGAUCUCCAACCAGCAGCUGACCUUUCUGCCCUUGGCGCCCUUUUGCUCCCCUUGGCUGUCCUUACAGGCCUAUGGGAUUUCAGGCCUCCCCUCCACGCCCAGUUGGAAGCACCGAUGGCAGAAUAUUAACUACCAGUUCCAGAGCAAGAGGAAGAGACACCUGGUUUUCCUGCGCCCGUGAGAGCCGGGAUUUGGGGACACAGGCUUCAGGCUUUUUGCAUGAUGAUCCCGAAGCAGACUUGCACCAUGCCAAGGAUGAGCUGGAAGGAGUGCUGAACAAUUCAGUGCCCCCUGUCUUCAGAUUAUCUGCCUUAUCUCCCUCUUGGGGUCUCUGAGAUCCUGCCCUUCACACUCCAAAUAAAUGAGCUUCUGCCUCUCUGGGCCUCUCUCUGCUUUAUUGAGGGGAUAUUCUGUGUACCGAGGGACACACUGAGUUGACUGAACCCAUGGGCUGGGGAGUGUCCACCAUCAUGCCUUGAUGCUGCCCCCACACCCAUCGACCCAUGAAUCCCCACUGCUGUGCCAUAGAAAGAAAGGCAGAGACAUGCAGAG
This 708-nucleotide long non-coding RNA is filed under the name Heterocephalus glaber (naked mole-rat). RNAcentral describes it as "lncRNA (ENSHGLG00100039262.1)". The record is from RNAcentral. Lineage: Eukaryota; Metazoa; Chordata; Mammalia; Rodentia; Bathyergidae.